AAUACUUUUCUUUUGAAAACUAGAAAUGUAUUAAUAAUAAAUAACAACUCCAAUGGCUCAAUUACUAAGCUAUAUAGAAUACCGCAUUUGAGAGGAGGAAGCUGUUUAAUGAGCCACUCCUUGGUGGGUGCUUCCCAUUUGAGAUGCUAAUCAAGCUUCUGAUGUUGAACCAGCAUUUCUCUGUUUCUCAAAUCCCUUCACUGGAUCAGCAUAUGAUUGAGCAAAAGGUCAUCUGGACAGAAAU
This 244-nucleotide unclassified non-coding RNA is filed under the name Hevea brasiliensis (rubber tree). The record is from RNAcentral. Lineage: Eukaryota; Viridiplantae; Streptophyta; Magnoliopsida; Malpighiales; Euphorbiaceae.